GUAUUGAUGGUUCAGUGGUAGAAUUCUCACCUUCCGAGUGGAAGCCCCAGGUUCCAUUCCCAGCCAGUGCA
RNAcentral lists this transfer RNA (71 nucleotides) under Loxodonta africana (African savanna elephant). It matches the Rfam family "tRNA". From Rfam's summary of the family: Transfer RNA (tRNA) molecules are approximately 80 nucleotides in length. Lineage: Eukaryota; Metazoa; Chordata; Mammalia; Proboscidea; Elephantidae. The record is from Rfam by way of RNAcentral.